UUACGGCCACAUCACGUUAAAACACCGGCUCCCGUACGAUCACCGUAAUUAAGCAACGUCAAGCCUAGUCAGUAACUAGGUGGGUGAUCGCUGGGGACUGGAAUAUCAGGUGCCGUAA
This is a non-coding RNA of Acanthosepion pharaonis, 118 nucleotides long. The record is from the annotation of a GenBank genome assembly. NCBI's taxonomy places the organism in Eukaryota, Metazoa, Mollusca, Cephalopoda, Sepiida, Sepiidae.